Nilaparvata lugens (brown planthopper) is the source of this 421-nucleotide long non-coding RNA. RefSeq lists it as uncharacterized. The transcript has 2 exons. NCBI's taxonomy places the organism in Eukaryota, Metazoa, Arthropoda, Insecta, Hemiptera, Delphacidae. The record is from RefSeq and is a predicted model, not a curated record.
GACUGAGGAGGGAAAUUUUUACAAAAUUAGUCCAGUAGUUGGCAUCUACAUUUUCCCACCACCGAGACUUUAAUGAGAUGUUUAUCGUAAUGUUAAUGUUGAUAGAUUGGUGAUAGUAGAGGUUAUAGUAGUUAGCCUCUUCAUAUCCCCACCACCGAGGCAUCAAUAAGAUAUUACUGUUUACCGAGAUGUUGAUAAUAAUAAUUCUUAACAAUAGUUGAGGUAAUAAUAGUUGGCCUCUACUUUUCCCUUCCACCAAAAUUUAGAUUAUUUAUUCUAAUGAUGACAGUAUUGCUACUUGAAAUUGAAAUGAAAACUUUUAACCUCCACCAAAUUUUGAAAAUUUGGCCUCCAAAUUCCUCCACAUAGUGCUCUACUACCGUGACUUAGAUUUUCCUUUUCGGUGAUGACAGUAUAUUGG